This 466-nucleotide ribosomal RNA is filed under the name uncultured bacterium. RNAcentral's name for it is "bacterial SSU rRNA". It matches the Rfam family "Bacterial small subunit ribosomal RNA", at positions 338 to 795 of the family's 1533-position model. The record is from RNAcentral.
CCUACGGGUCGCACCAGUAGGGAAUCUUCCGCAAUGGACGAAAGUCUGACGGAGCAACGCCGCGUGAGUGAUGAAGGCUUUCGGGUCGUAAAACUCUGUUGUUAGGGAAGAACAAGUGCUAGUUGAAUAAGCUGGCACCUUGACGGUACCUAACCAGAAAGCCACGGCUAACUACGUGCCAGCAGCCGCGGUAAUACGUAGGUGGCUAGCGUUAUCCGGGAUUAUUGGGCGUAAAGCGCGCGCAGGCGGUUUCUUAAGUCUGUUGUGAAAGCCCACGGCUCAACCGUGGAGGGUCAUUGGAAACUGGGAGACUUGAGUGCAGAAGAGGAAAGUGGAAUUCCAUGUGUAGCGGUGAAAUGCGUAGAGAUAUGGAGGAACACCAGUGGCGAAGGCGACUUUCUGGUCUGUAACUGACACUGGGGCGCGAAAGCGUGGGGAGCAAACAGGAUUAGAUACCCGCGUAGUC